This 7011-nucleotide ribosomal RNA is filed under the name Plasmodium falciparum UGT5.1. RNAcentral's name for it is "28S ribosomal RNA". The stretch from base 298 to 4931 matches the Rfam family "Eukaryotic large subunit ribosomal RNA". The record is from RNAcentral. Lineage: Eukaryota; Apicomplexa; Aconoidasida; Haemosporida; Plasmodiidae.
ACAUUUCUUAUUAUAUAUAAAUUUUUUAUAUUCAUUUACUUUUCUUAUUAUAUACUUUUUUUUAUGUACAUUUACAUUUCUUAUUAUAUAUAUAUUUUUUUAUAUUCAUUUACAUUUCUUAUUAUAUAUAAAUUUUUUUAUAUUCAUUUACAUUUCUUAUUAUAUAUAAAUUUUUUAUAUUCAUUUACAUUUCUUAUUAUAUAUAUAUAUAUAUAUUUUUUUUUUUUUUUUUUUUUUUUUUAUGCGUGUUGUAAUUUAAACGUGUUAUAAUUUAUAUUAAUAUAUAUUAUGGAAAGGAUUUAUUAAUAUAAGAAAGCAAAUCCGCUGAACUUAAGCAUAUUAUUAAGCGGAAGAAAAGAAAAUAACAAUGAUUCUUUUAGUAACGGCGAGUGAACAAAGAAAAGCUCAACAUGGAAAAUCCGACAGAUAGCUACCCGCGAUUUGUCGGAAUUGUCAAGUUGAAAAACAUUCCAAGAGUUCUUUUUUAUAAUAUGACAAUGAGAAGAAGUAGAUAGAAAUGUCUCUCCUUAGAGGGUGAAAGACCCGUAUUCUUAAUCAUAAAACUGAUCAAUUGGAAUGUUUUGUUUUUGAGUCGUGUUCUUUGAGACUGGAGCACUAAUUAGUGUGAUACAUUUCACAUAAAGCUAAAUAUUUGUAAGAAACCGAUAGUAAACAAGUACCGUGAGGGAAAGAUGAAAUAGUACUCAGGAAUGAGCAAUUAAAUAGUACCUGAAAUCGUUAAGAUGGAACGGAUUAAAAAAGGAAAAAAGUAACAACAUAGUUAAAAUGAGAGAUUUUGGUGCGCGCAAUAAAGAAUGGAGUCCUUAAAAAAGGAUGUAGAUAUUCAAGUAUCAAAACAAAAUUUUUCUUUUUUUAAAAAGAAAUUUUUUGAAGCUUUUGUUAUAAUAUUCAUUUUUAUUCUUAUCCUUUUUUUUAGGUAAGAUAAAAAUGAUACAAAAGUUGUCUUUCAUACUAUAUAUAUAUAUAUAUAUAUAUAAAUAUUAUGUUCUUAUUAAAAGAAACAUGAGUGAAUGAAAAUAAAUAAUCGUGGAGCAAAAAUAAACACAAUAACAAGAAAAAAAAAUAAAAAAAAUAAAAUAAAAUAAUUAAAAUAAAAAUAAAACAAAAAGAAACAAAAAAAAGCAAAAUAUAAAAUAAAAGAAUUAAUUGAAUUUAAUUUCAUUUUAUUUUUUUCCUUUUAUAUUUUGCUUUUUUAUUUUGUUUUAUUUUUAUUUUAAUUAUUAUUUUUUUUUUUUUUUUUUUUUUCCCUUAUUGACUAUUUUUCUAAGCUAAUGUGGAAAAAUAUAACUUGCUUCUUUUUUUUUUUUUCUUUUCUGAAGGGAGAAAAAAAAGAAAAAUAUGAAAGAUACAUUUAUUUAAUUUACUGAGGAUUGUGAAAAUUAUAUUAAUUGUAUAUGAUGCGAAAUAAUAUAAUUUAAGAUGUUUUUAUAAAGUACUUUUUUAACCCACUCGUCUUGAAACACGGACCAAGGAGUCUAACAAAUGUGCAAGUGUAUAUGAUAAGAAUAAACAUAGUAUAAAAAUUUCUACGCAUAAUUAAUGUAACAAAAAUAUAUGUUUAUUAAUUGUAGAUUUUGUGGGGUUUUAAAUUUUUUUUAUAAAUCCACACAAAUGCAUACAAUACCGGUGAGCAAUUAUGCUUUAUUGAGUAAGAGCAUACUUGUUAGGACCCGAGAGGCUUUGAACUAAACGUGAUGAGAUUGAAGUCAGAGUAAAAUCUGAUGGAGGAUCGAGUUGAUACUGACGUGCAAAUCGUUCAUUUCAAUUGCGUUUAGGGGCGAAAGACUAAUCGAAAAGCCUAUUAGCUGGUUAUUUUCGAAAGAUCUCUCAGGAUCGCUGGAGUUGAUUAUAAUAUAGUUUUACCUGGUAGAAAUAAUGAUUAGAGGAUUCAAGGAGAUGAUAAUUCCUUGACCUAUAUAUAUCGAAAGAUUCAAUAGGUAAAAAAAUGAGGAAAUAACUUUAUUGUAUUUUCAUUCAUAUUUAAAAAUAAGAUAACUCCAAGUUGGCCAUUUUUGGUAAGCAGAACUGGCGAUGAGGGAUGCUCCUAACGCUUGGAUAAGGUGCCUAAAUAUCCGCUCAUUAGAUACCAUUAAAAAGGUGUUGGUUUGUGAUUACAGUAGGACGGUAUUCAUAGAAGUUGAAAUCCGCUAGGAAGUGUGUAACAACUUACCUACCUAAUAAACUCGCCCUGAAAAUGGAUGGCGCUAAAGCGGAUUACCGAUACCAAGCCAUAAAAAAGAAAAAAAAAAAAAAUUCAAUAUUUUUUUUAUUUUUUUAGAUUCUUUUUAUGAGUAGAAAAUCGUGGGGUUUUGUGUUGAAGCGAAAUACGUGAGUUUUCGUGGAACAUCUCCCUAGUGCAGAUCUUGGUGGAAGUAGCAAAUAUUCUUAUGAGAACUUUGAAGACUGAAGUGGAGAAGGGUUUUUUGUAAACUAUGUUUGAGCAAAAGUUAGCCGUUCCUAAGAGAUAGCUGAAAAGCGUUAUAAAUUGAGGUUACCUAUUAUAUGAAAAGUAUAGUAGUGUUUUUUCUCUUCUCGAAAGGGAAGCAGGUUGAUAUUCCUGCGCCAUAUGUAAUAAGAACUAAUAAAUAGAGAUGGUAACAUAUAUAUAAAUAAAUGAACUCCUUAACAUAGGCCUUACGCUUGGAGUGCGUUAUCUUUGCACUUUAACUUUAUAUCAAACCUUCGAAAUCGAUUUACUUGUAGAAAAGGUUCGAUGAAUUUACAAUAAGCAAUUUAUUUAUUAUAUGCGUGGACCGGUACACAUGAUAUAUAUAUUAAUGAAUUGUUUUGUAGUAAUAGUAAUUCGUUUGUUGUACGAAUUAUCCAAAGUUGUAUGGACUAUCCAUGAAAAAAGGAGGGAACACUAAAUUAAAUGGGAAUGUAUAAAAUACUAUAAAAGUAUGAAAGAAGAAAAAGUAAAGAAAGGAAAGAAAAAAAAAUAUUAACCUUCAGCUUUUUUUUCUAUUUUUUUUUUCUUUUUUUGCUUUCAUAUAUUUUUAUAGUGUUUUUACAUUAACCAUUUUUUUUUUUAUAUUCUUAAAUUACAAUUAUAAAAAUGAACGUACCAAUAACCGCAUCAGGUCUCCAAGGUUAGUAGCCUCUGGUUAAAUAGAAAAACGUAGGUAAGGGAAGUAAGCAAAUUAGAUCCGUAACUUCGGGAAAAGGAUUGGCUCUGAUAACACAAAAUGAGAAGAAAAAAAUGAAAAGAAAAAAAUGAAAAGAAAAAAAUGAAAAGAAUUGUGGUUGAAAAUAAAAAUGUUAAGAUGUUUAUUUAUAUAUUUAUAUUAGUUUUUCUUAUAUUUUAAGAUUAAUUAAUUAAUUAUAUAUUUAAUAUGUUAAAAUGUUUUAUAUUUCUUCUUCUACUCUAUUCUAUUCCAUUCUAUUCUAUUCUAUUUUUUUUUUUCUCUUUCUCUUCGAUAUUACAUAUAUUUUGUUAUUAUAAUAAAAAUUAUGUAAUAUUGUUUAGCUGUGUUUAUUCAGAACUGAAACGGACAAGGGGAAUCCGACUGUUUAAUAAAAACAUAGCAUUGUGAAAAGCUAUAACUGGUAUUAACACAAUGUGAUUUCUGCCCAGUGCUUUGAAUGUCAAGUUGAUGAAAAUUUCAAUUAAGCGCAGGUAAACGGCGGGAGUAACUAUUAUGACUCUCUUAAGGUAGCCAAAAAUGUAUGGUCGAUAAAAAGGACCAUCAGGAAUGGAUUAACGAGAUUCCUACUGUCCCUACUUGCGAUCUAGCGAAACCACAACCAAGGGAAAGGGCUUGGUAAAAUCAGCAGGGAAAGAAGACCCUGUUGUGCUUUACUCUAGUCUGACUUUGUAAAAAGAUUUAAGAGGUAUAGUAUAAGUGGUAGUAGAAAUUGAAAUAAUGUUUUUACGUCAGUGAAAUACCACUACUUUUAAAAAGUUUUUACUAAUCCAUUUAUCUAGUGAAUGACUAUUAUAUAAAUAUAUAUAUAUAUAUAUUUUCUAUAUUUUAUGUGUAUCACUUUUUAUGGAGACAGAGUCAGGUGGGGAGUUUGACUAAGGUGGUACAUCUGUUAAAAAAUAACGCAGAUGUCCAAAGAUAAGCUCAAGGAGAACAGAAAUCUCUUGUAGACUAAAAGGGGAAAAGCUUGUUUGAUUUCUAUUUUCAGAAAGAAUAGAAAACGUGAAAGCGUGGCCUAUCGAUCCUUUAUAUUUGCAAAAUGACGUAAAAUUAUUUACUACUGUGCAUAUAAAGGUGUCUGAAAAGUUACCACAGGGAUAACUUGUUUGUGGCUGCUUAGCGAUAUUAGCAACGUGGCUUUUUGUAUUUUCGAUUACGGCUCUUCCUAUCAUUGGGACGCAGAAGUCUCAAAGUGUCGGAUUGUUCACCCGCUAAUAGGGAACGUGAGCUGGGUUUAGACCGUCGUGAGACAGGUUAGUUUUACCCUACUGAUGAAUAUUAUUAUAUUAUUAUAUAUAUAUAUAGUAUUGUGACAGUAAUCCAACUUGGUACGAGAGGAUUAGUUGGUUCAGACAAUUGGUACAGCAAUUGGGUUGAUAAACCAGUGUUGCGAAGCUACGUCUGUUGGAUAAUGACUGAACGAUUCUAAAGUCAGAACCCAUACUGAUUAAACAAUAAUAUAAUUGUAUAUUUUUGUCAUAAGGUUGUGUUUUAUUUUUUUUUAUUGCUAAUGUAAAAGAGAAAUUUAAUAUAUGCGUUAAUCUAUAUAUAUUAUGUAUAGAUUUUCAUAAACAUAUAAAUAAUCCCAUAAAGACGUAUCUUUUUUUUUUCUAAACAAAGAAAAAUAUGUUCUUUUUAUUGUAAUUUAACAACAAAAAUAAUCUAAAGUAUAUUGUAGACGACAUUUUUAGCCUCAGAGUGCUGUAAACAUGUGAGCAAACUUGUUUUGCGAACUGUUCAGGCUUAUCUCUUGUGGUUUUUGCUUUUAUAAAAAAAAACAUCUACAAAAUGAAAAUAUUGAAAUUGUUGCAAAUAUAAAAUACGUGUAUUUAUUAUAUAUGUAACAAUUUUAUUAUUCAUAUAACAAUUAUUAAUGUAUCAAUUUUUUUUUUUUUUUAACUUUAUUUUUUUAUUUAUUUAUAGGUAUAUAUAUAUAUAUAUAAUUGGACAAAUCUUUCAUAGGAAAUUAUAUAUUUUUAUAUAUUUAUUGCAUAUAUCAAAUAUUCAUAAUAUAUCACCACAUAGAUGAUAAAUAAAUAAAUAAAUAAAUAUAUAUAUAUAUAUAUAUAAUAUUUUGUUUAUGUUUUUAUAAAACGUUAAAAACAUUAUAUAUUUUAUUUUUAUUUAAGAAAAACUUUUUAUUGUUUUCCUAGAAUGAAAGUGAAAAUAUUAAGAACAUUUUUAAUAGAAUGUAUGUCUAUCUAUGUAUGUAAUAUUUUAAUUAUAUAAUAUAGUUUUAUGUUUGAUUAUCUUGAUGCAUAAAAUUUUAAUAUAUAAUUAUAGAUAUUUAAUUAAAAAUUUGACAAAUAAAUAGAAAAUGUUAUUUAUUUGUUUAUUAUUUUUUUUUUAUUUUCUAAAUGAUCAUAUAUAUAUAUAUAUAUAUUAAAAAUGAUAACUUUUAUAUAUGUAUGUUUUAUCUAUGUAGAACUUAUUACAUACAUGAAAUAUAUAAUAUACAUCAUUAAUUAUAUAAUAUAAAAGUACAUCAUGUUAGAAAUAAAAUUUUAAGUUUAAUACGAUAACGAGUUAUAUACUUAUAUAUUUUAAUAUAACUAUUUUGUAUAAUAUAAAGGGGGGUUGUCUAUUAAAAAUUAUAUAUUAUCUUUAUAUGUGUUUGAUUUGGAAAAUUACAGGAUUAUUAUAUUGUUAUUAUUAUAAAGUGUAUACGAUUUAAAUAAAUAUAUAUAUAUAUAAUUUUUGUAUUAUGUAAUAUUGAUAUAAUCACAUGUUUAUUAAUUGAUAAUAAUAAUGAUAAUAUUAUAAUAUAAUAUAAUUUUAUGAAGCUAUUUAUAUUUUAUUGUAUUUUUUUAGAUAUCAUAGCUUCUAGUAAGAGUUUAGAUUCACUCAAUAAAUUUUCCUCUUCUUCAUAGGAUAAGCAUAUAAAAUUAUUUUUCAAUAAACUUUUGAUAAAAUAAAAAAAGAGUUCCUCUUUUUUUGAUACAAUUAUUUUAUUUUCUGUACUUAUAUUUUGAAUAUUAUCAUAAAUUUCUUUAAAUAUAUAUUUUUUAACAUUUUCAUACGUUACAUCUCUAUAAUAGUAACUAUUAAGUCUAAAAGGUUCUCCUGGUAACAAUUCAUAAUAUUCUUCUUGAUUAUCUGAAGAAUCUUUUAAAUCGUAGAGUUUAAGAAAUUCGUCAUAAUUUCUUGUCAUUUUAAAAUUUUCAAAAACCUUUGUGUGUUUUUUUUUAUAUGGUCCGAUAGGACUAUAUUGAUAUCUAUUACUUGAUGAUAAUGAUAUAUUUUCAACAUCUUCUAAAAUAUUAAAUGAUUCUUCUGUAUCAUUUGAAAAAAUAUGAUUCACGGAAUAAUCUUCAUUAACAUAUUCAUAAUCACUUGUAUCUUCAUCACUGUUCUCAUAUAAUUGAAGUUCACCAAAAGAAAUAUCUAAAUUAUCUUCUGAGUUAGUACUGUAUAACAAUAAUUCAUCCAUCGUAUUACUAUUAGUACUAAUAAGACUAUUUGAUGAAUCUUGAUUUUUGAGUUCAUUUGAAUUUGUUUUAAUAUUUUGUGUGAAGGUAUUUAUUUCAUUUUCAUUAUUAUGAUGAAUAGUAUUGUUAUUUUGAUUUGUUUGUUGCUCUAAUUUAUUGUUCAUUUCUUUUUUUAAUUUUUUUUUUUUUAAUUUUGAGAUUUCUGUAAUUAUAUUAUCAAGGUCUAUCAUAGUAGAAGAAGGAGAGGGGUGGUCUAUGUUAGUUGAUCUUGUUAAAUCAGAAUUAUUUUUGACUCCUUCAAGUAUUUCAUAUUCUUCUUCAUCAUCUAUUAAAUUUGGUACUUCAGAGGGGCUUAAACCAAAUAUAUCAUUUGUAUUAUUAUUAUUACUAUUAUUUUUUUUUAAUGUAUUCGUUCUUGU